ACAUUUUUAGCUCAGUUGGAUUAGAGCACCAGCCUUCUAAGCUGAUGGUCAUAGGUUCGAAUCCUAUAAAAUGUA
RNAcentral lists this transfer RNA (75 nucleotides) under Lithodesmioides sp. mgcode 4. RNAcentral's name for it is "tRNA-Arg". It matches the Rfam family "tRNA". From Rfam's summary of the family: Transfer RNA (tRNA) molecules are approximately 80 nucleotides in length. Their secondary structure includes four short double-helical elements and three loops (D, anti-codon, and T loops). Lineage: Eukaryota; Bacillariophyta; Thalassiosirophyceae; Lithodesmiales; Lithodesmiaceae. The record is from RNAcentral.